Molecule: unclassified non-coding RNA, 205 nt
Filed under: Hevea brasiliensis (rubber tree)
Lineage: Eukaryota; Viridiplantae; Streptophyta; Magnoliopsida; Malpighiales; Euphorbiaceae
Source: RNAcentral
AAGAUUGGUCAACAUUGAAAAAGAAACACCAUUCAUUUGAUAGUGAUGAUCUGAUGCACUAUUGCUUCUCUUCAGCGUAUAUUGUGGCCCUACUUCAUGACAGUCUGGGAAUUGCAUUGGAUGAUGAAAGGAUUGGAUACGCCAAUCAGGUUGGAAACAUCCCUCUUGAUUGGGCAUUGGGAGCUUUCAUCUUGCAGAGCACUGC